This 191-nucleotide non-coding RNA is filed under the name uncultured Pseudoramibacter sp. RNAcentral describes it as "raiA RNA". It matches the Rfam family "raiA RNA". The record is from RNAcentral. Lineage: Bacteria; Bacillati; Bacillota; Clostridia; Eubacteriales; Eubacteriaceae.
GAGCUGUGGUUGAAAGUCGAAGCCAGUCGCAGGCAAAACGAUCCACGUAAGGUAUUCAACAAUAAAAUAAUCGAUCAUGGUGCGGCCUAGAUGUAAGUCCAGCCGGUCUAAACCGAGAGAAGGAACAGUGAGAUGAUAUCAGGCGAAACUUCCAGCUGGCGGGUGUGGGGGCAAAGACCAGGUCAGUCGGA